This is a long non-coding RNA of Lutra lutra (Eurasian river otter), 2425 nucleotides long. RefSeq lists it as uncharacterized. The transcript is spliced from 4 exons. Lineage: Eukaryota; Metazoa; Chordata; Mammalia; Carnivora; Mustelidae. The record is from RefSeq and is a predicted model, not a curated record.
GCAGGCCUCCUCACUGAGCAGGAAGCCUGGUGCAGGACUUGAUCCCAGGAUCCUGGGAUCGUGACCUGAACAGAAGGAAGACACUUAACUGACGGAGCCACCCUUUUCAAUGGCCUUUUCAAAGCAGGCAGGAUGACAGGAACACGGAACCUGAACCCAGUGCUUUCUAAGAGUGACGGAACAAUCAGCUGUCUUUUAAGAAACCUCCAACUGCCGUUCAAGAAAGGACGCCUUUGAUGAAGAGGAUUCUUACUAGGUCCAGCUGAAGGCACGAAAGGUCCAAUUGUACCAGCAGUUGUCAAACUUAAAUGUGCAUCAGAAUCCCUUUACAGAUUUCUUGGUUUAGUAAACCAUCAGCUUUCAAGGGAUGCUUCUCUGAGAACACUGUGCCCAUGACCAUCGCUCAAGUCAUUUUCUGGAUCAAAAGUAAUGAGGCAGUGACAGGCUUUAAUUGGCUUUUGCUUCUCAACGACUACAAUGUCACCCACCAAAGAGGAAUUACUUCUCUACUUAAACAUCAAAGCUAGAAAUAAGGCGGUCAGAAAAUAGAUAAGUGUGGGAUGACUUCUGAUUUUUAUUCCUAUUUUUUUUUUUUUUUUUGCUCCUAUUUUAUUUUUAUAUAAUUAAAAAAAUCUCUAAAUGCUGCUGGGUUAUUUUAUGAACAUAUCAUUUAUUCGAUGAAGUUCAGAACUCCGUUUUCAAGAUCGAGGGUAUAACCAAGAAUAUUCUGGAAGUGAUUUUUCUUUAAGCUUUAUGCCCAAAGUGGGCGAUUGACCUCAUCACCCCAAGAUCAAGAGUUGUUGAGCUUGAGCCAGUCAGACAUCCCUGGAAGAGAUUUUGCUUAAAAAAUUCUUAAUUUUUAAAUACUACAUGUGGUGUAAAAUACAGCUAAAAGUCCUCUUCUUUUCCUGCCGUCCUGUUGUGAUCCUGAGUCACUCCCCUAGACGCAAAUCCAUUAUGUACAUGUUUUUCAGUCUAAUAUUUAUCUUCUAUUUUGGGUAACCAUGAGUAAGCUAGCAUGAUUUAGAAAAAAAAAAUGAGGGUAUUCUUUGGGAUUUACCAAUUAUUUUAGCUAAAAUACACUGUGAUUACAGAAGACAAACACUGGAUUUCCUUAGCAUUCUAUGGUCAAAUUUGAGCAAAAUCAAAAUUGUAUUGUUUUUUCACAUGUAUGAAAACACUUUCCUAUCUCAACAGCAUAGUCUGAGCAUUAUUUGGGGGAUGAAAAUGAGGCUCACAGGGACUUAUAUCCAGGUUCUAUAAAGAACUCUUAGAACAAUAAAAGGACAAAUCACCCAAUUAAAAAAUGAGUAAAGGAUCUGGAGAGUCCUGCAAAGAAGAACUACAAAUGGCCAGUAAGUGUAUGAAAAGAUGCUAAACAUCAUUCAUCCUAAGGGGAACUCAAAUAAGAACUCUGGGGAGCUACCCCUUCUCACCCCCCGAGCUGCUGUCAUAAAGACAGGCGAGGGAAGGAGCUGGAGAGGACCCGAUGAAGACUGGAGAAGGGGGCAACGGCUUUGGGAAACGGUUUGGUGGAUCCUUAAAACUACGAAUCCCAGCAAUUCUAUUCCUGGGUGUAGAUCCAAGAAAAAUGAAGACCUGUGCCUGCACCGAAGCUUGCCCACGAAUGCUCCCAGUCGCAUCCUUCAGAAUAGUCCCAUAGUGUUAAUAACCCAACUGUCCACUAGUUGGUGAAUGGAGAAAAAACAUUCCAGUUGACCUGGCAACACUCAGAACUGGACUCUGAGCUUCCAUGCUGCGGGGUGAACAGACCAUGUGUGCAGGUGCGUGGAAGCCCGGGGAACUGUCUACGGUGUCACAGGACCAGCGGGUGUGGCACAGGUAUGGGACCUCCCUCCAGGGCACCCACCGCUCUCUGGCCUCUUCUGUUUAUGUCCUCUCUCCCUGUCCCCACCCACGCCCCCUUGGAUUUGUCCCCCCAGCACAUCUGCUUCACAGAUGAGGGAUCUGAAGACCAGGCAGGGAGGCGCAGGGACUUGCCCAAGGUCACACAGCCGUUGAGUAGAGUUUAGGAUCUGAAUCCUGUUUUCCAAUCAAGUACUUUCUAGGGCCAGCUAGCGGACAUUUGAGAAAUCUGACACUGUAGAAACUGAGGCAGCAAAGGCGGAGGGGCCUAGGAACUCGUAAAUAAUCCCCAGAUCCAGCAAAAACGAAGGCAGUAGACCAUGCUGGAUGUGGCUGCCUAGAUCUCGGCUUGAGGAGAGUAAGGAUGGCCAGAACGGUUUGGGGAAAACUAGGCAGAAUAUGCUUUACAAAUAUUUUUCUUCCUUAAAAAGUUAAAAAUAGAAUUACCCUGUGAUCCAGCAAUCCCAUUUCUGGGUAUAUACCCCCAAAGAAGAAAAACAGUCUGAGCUAUUUGUUUACCCAAACUGUUGGUCUCCCCCCACCCCUCAAGCCCCAUUCA